CGGUUAUCACUUUACAGAAUGGGGCCGCGGGCCAUAGCUGUGUAGUACGUCACCAAGCAUGAUGGUAGCGACUUGAGAGGGUGAUCGAACUACCUGGGAUUGAGACCGACCAAGACCCCUUACCGGAGGCAGCAGUAAGGAUUCUUCGCAAUUGGACGAAAGUCCUAACGAGCACGCCGCGUGAGGUGAUUGAGGUUUUCCGGAUCGUAAACUCUGUUGUUAAGGGAAGAACAAGUACGAGAGUAACUGCUCGUACCUGACGGUACCUAACCAGAAAGGCCACGGCUAACUACGUGCCAGCAGCCGCGGUAAUACGUAGGUGGCAAGCGUUGUCCGGAAUUAUUGGGCGUAAAGCGCGCGCAGGCGGUCCCUUAAGUCUGAUGUGAAAGCCCACGGCUCAACCGUGGAGGGUCAUUGGAAACUGGGGGACUUGAGUGCAGAAGAGGAGAGUGGAAUUCCACGUGUAGCGGUGAAAUGCGUAGAGAUGUGGAGGAACACCAGUGGCGAAGGCGACUCUCUGGUCUGUAACUGACGCUGAGGCGCGAAAGCGUGGGGAGCGAACAGGAUUAGAUACCCUGGUAGUCCACGCCGUAAACGAUGAGUGCUAAGUGUUAGAGGGUUUCCGCCCUUUAGUGCUGCAGCAAACGCAUUAAGCACUCCGCCUGGGGAGUACGGCCGCAAGGCUGAAACUCAAAGGAAUUGACGGGGGCCCGCACAAGCGGUGGAGCAUGUGGUUUAAUUCGAAGCAACGCGAAGAACCUUACCAGGUCUUGACAUCCUCUGACAAUCCUAGAGAUAGGACGUUCCCCUUCGGGGGACAGAGUGACAGGUGGUGCAUGGUUGUCGUCAGCUCGUGUCGUGAGAUGUUGGGUUAAGUCCCGCAACGAGCGCAACCCUUGAUCUUAGUUGCCAGCAUUCAGUUGGGCACUCUAAGGUGACUGCCGGUGACAAACCGGAGGAAGGUGGGGAUGACGUCAAAUCAUCAUGCCCCUUAUGACCUGGGCUACACACGUGCUACAAUGGAUGGUACAAAGGGCAGCAAAACCGCGAGGUCGAGCAAAUCCCAUAAAACCAUUCUCAGUUCGGAUUGUAGGCUGCAACUCGCCUACAUGAAGCCGGAAUCGCUAGUAAUCGCGGAUCAGCAUGCCGCGGUGAAUACGUUCCCGGGCCUUGUACACACCGCCCGUCACACCACGAGAGUUUGUAACACCCGAAGUCGGUGGGGUAACCUUUUGGAGCCAGCCGCCUUAAGGUG
This 1255-nucleotide ribosomal RNA is filed under the name Bacillus sp. W-6. Its description in RNAcentral is "partial 16S ribosomal RNA". It matches the Rfam family "Bacterial small subunit ribosomal RNA", at positions 207 to 1464 of the family's 1533-position model. Lineage: Bacteria; Bacillati; Bacillota; Bacilli; Caryophanales; Bacillaceae. The record is from RNAcentral.